RNAcentral lists this ribosomal RNA (492 nucleotides) under uncultured bacterium. RNAcentral's name for it is "partial 16S ribosomal RNA". It matches the Rfam family "Bacterial small subunit ribosomal RNA", at positions 29 to 507 of the family's 1533-position model. The record is from RNAcentral.
AGUGAACGCUGGCGGUAGGCCUAACACAUGCAAGUCGAACGGCAGCACAGUAAGAGCUUGCUCUUACGGGUGGCGAGUGGCGGACGGGUGAGGAAUACAUCGGAAUCUACUUUUUCGUGGGGGAUAACGUAGGGAAACUUUCGCUAAUACCGCAUACGACCUACGGGUGAAAGCAGGGGAUCUUCGGACCUUGCGCGAUUGAAUGAGCCGAUGUCGGAUUAGCUAGUUGGCGGGGUAAAGGCCCACCAAGGCGACGAUCCGUAGCUGGUCUGAGAGGAUGAUCAGCCACACUGGAACUGGGACACGGUCCAGACUCCUACGGGAGGCAGCAGUGGGGAAUAUUGGACAAUGGGCGCAAGCCUGAUCCAGCCAGACCGCGUGGGUGAAGAAGUCCUUCGGGUUGUAAAGCCCUUUUGUUGGGAAAGAAAAGCAGCAGGUUAAUACCCCGCUGUUCUGACGGUACCCAAAGAAUAAGCACCGGCUAACUUCGUG